AGCGAUGACACAGAUAGAUCAGUACC
RNAcentral lists this non-coding RNA (26 nucleotides) under Homo sapiens (human). Lineage: Eukaryota; Metazoa; Chordata; Mammalia; Primates; Hominidae. The record is from RNAcentral.